UCCAGCCAUGCCGCGUGAGUGAAGAAGGCCUUAGGGUUGUAAAGCUCUUUUGGCAGGGACGAUAAUGACGGUACCUGCAGAAUAAGCCCCGGCAAACUUCGUGCCAGCAGCCGCGGNUAAUACGAAGGGGGCUAGCGUUGUUCGGAUUUACUGGGCGUAAAGCGCACGUAGGCGGAUUGUUAAGUCAGGGGUGAAAUCCCGGAGCUCAACUCCGGAACUGCCUUUGAUACUGGCAAUCUUGAGGCUGGAAGAGGUUGGUAGAAUUCCCAGUGUAGAGGUGAAAUUCGUAGAUAUUGGGAAGAAUACCAGUGGCGAAGGCGGCCAACUGGUCCAGAUCUGACGCUGAGGUGCGAAASGUGGGGAGCAAACAGGAUUAGAUACCCUGGUAGUCCACGCCGUAAACUAUGGGUGCUAGCCGUCAGCGGGCUUGCUCGUUGGUGGCGCASUAACGCAUUAAGCACCCCGCCUGGGGAGUACGGUCGCAAGAUUAAAACUUAAAGGAAUUGACGGGGGCCCGCACAAGCGGUGGAGCAUGUGGUUUAAUUCGAAGCAACGCGCAGAACCUUACCU
Molecule: ribosomal RNA, 570 nt
Filed under: uncultured bacterium
Lineage: Bacteria
Description: bacterial SSU rRNA
Rfam family: Bacterial small subunit ribosomal RNA
Source: RNAcentral